GCCAGCAUGGCAUAGUGGUUUGAGUACUGGACUAUGACUCUGGAGACCAGGGUUUGAAUCUCAGUUCAGCCA
Phrynosoma platyrhinos (Desert horned lizard) is the source of this 72-nucleotide non-coding RNA. The record is from the annotation of a GenBank genome assembly. Lineage: Eukaryota; Metazoa; Chordata; Lepidosauria; Squamata; Phrynosomatidae.